AGUGAACGCUGGCGGUAUGCCUAACACAUGCAAGUCGAACGGCAGCACAGUAAGAGCUUGCUCUUACGGGUGGCGAGUGGCGGACGGGUGAGGAAGACAUCGGAAUCUACUUUUUCGUGGGGGAUAACGUAGGGAAACUUUCGCGAAUACCGCAUACGACCUACGGGUGAAAGCAGGGGAUCUUCGGAACUUGCGCGAUUGAAUGAGCCGAUAUCGGAGUAGUUAGUUGGCGGGGUAAAGGCCCACCAAGGCGACGAUUCGUAGCUGGUCUGAGAGGAUGACCAGCCCCGGUGGAACUGAGAGACGGUCCACACUGCUACGGGAGGCCGCAGCGGGGACUUUUGGACGAUAGGCGCAAGCAUGAUCCAGCAAUGGCGCGUGGGUGAAGAAGGCCUUGGGGUUGUAAAGUCCUUGUGUUGGGAAAGAAAAGCAGCAGUUCAAUACGCAGCUGCAAUGACGGUACCCAAAGAAUAAGCACCGGCUAACUCCGUG
This 492-nucleotide ribosomal RNA is filed under the name uncultured bacterium. RNAcentral's name for it is "partial 16S ribosomal RNA". It matches the Rfam family "Bacterial small subunit ribosomal RNA", at positions 29 to 507 of the family's 1533-position model. The record is from RNAcentral.